This 1470-nucleotide ribosomal RNA is filed under the name metagenome. Its description in RNAcentral is "bacterial SSU rRNA". It matches the Rfam family "Bacterial small subunit ribosomal RNA". The record is from RNAcentral.
AGAGUUUGAUCCUGGCUCAGGACGAACGCUGGCGGCACGCCUAACACAUGCAAGUCGAACGAGAGAAGAGGAGCUUGCUUUUCUGAUCUAGUGGCGGACGGGUGAGUAACACGUGAGCAAUCUGCCUUUCAGAGGGGGAUACCGAUUGGAAACGAUCGUUAAUACCGCAUAACAUAAUUGAACCGCAUGAUUUGAUUAUCAAAGAUUUAUCGCUGAAAGAUGAGCUCGCGUCUGAUUAGCUAGUUGGUAAGGUAACGGCUUACCAAGGCGACGAUCAGUAGCCGGACUGAGAGGUUGAUCGGCCACAUUGGGACUGAGACACGGCCCAGACUCCUACGGGAGGCAGCAGUGGGGAAUAUUGCACAAUGGAGGAAACUCUGAUGCAGCGAUGCCGCGUGAGGGAAGAAGGUUUUAGGAUUGUAAACCCCUGUCUUCAGGGACGAAAAAAGACGGUACCUGAGGAGGAAGCUCCGGCUAACUACGUGCCAGCAGCCGCGGUAAUACGUAGGGAGCGAGCGUUGUCCGGAAUUACUGGGUGUAAAGGGAGCGUAGGCGGGAUCGCAAGUCAGAUGUGAAAACUAUGGGCUUAACCCAUAAACUGCAUUUGAAACUGUGGUUCUUGAGUGAAGUAGAGGUAAGCGGAAUUCCUAGUGUAGCGGUGAAAUGCGUAGAUAUUAGGAGGAACAUCAGUGGCGAAGGCGGCUUACUGGGCUUUAACUGACGCUGAGGCUCGAAAGCGUGGGGAGCAAACAGGAUUAGAUACCCUGGUAGUCCACGCCGUAAACGAUGAUUACUAGGUGUGGGGGGACUGACCCCUUCCGUGCCGCAGCAAACGCAAUAAGUAAUCCACCUGGGGAGUACGACCGCAAGGUUGAAACUCAAAGGAAUUGACGGGGGCCCGCACAAGCAGUGGAGUAUGUGGAUUAAUUCGAAGCAACGCGAAGAACCUUACCAGGUCUUGACAUCGUAUGCAUAGCUCAGAGAUGAGUGAAAUCUCUUCGGAGACAUAUAGACAGGUGGUGCAUGGUUGUCGUCAGCUCGUGUCGUGAGAUGUUGGGUUAAGUCCCGCAACGAGCGCAACCCUUACUGUUAGUUGCUACGCAAGAGCACUCUAGCAGGACUGCCGUUGACAAAACGGAGGAAGGUGGGGAUGACGUCAAAUCAUCAUGCCCCUUAUGACCUGGGCCUCACACGUACUACAAUGGCUGUCAACAGAGGGAAGCUAAGCCGCGAGGUGGAGCGAACCCCUAAAGGCAGUCUUAGUUCGGAUUGUAGGCUGCAACCCGCCUACAUGAAGUCGGAAUUGCUAGUAAUCGCAGAUCAGCAUGCUGCGGUGAAUACGUUCCCGGGCCUUGUACACACCGCCCGUCACGCCAUGGGAGUCGGUAACACCCGAAGCCUGUAGUCUAACCGCAAGGAGGACGCAGUCGAAGGUGGGAUUGAUGACUGGGGUGAAGUCGUAACAAGGUA